Molecule: transfer RNA, 82 nt
Filed under: Leptospiraceae bacterium
Lineage: Bacteria; Pseudomonadati; Spirochaetota; Leptospiria; Leptospirales; Leptospiraceae
Description: tRNA-Leu
Rfam family: tRNA
About the family: Transfer RNA (tRNA) molecules are approximately 80 nucleotides in length. Their secondary structure includes four short double-helical elements and three loops (D, anti-codon, and T loops). Further hydrogen bonds mediate the characteristic L-shaped molecular structure. tRNAs have two regions of fundamental functional importance: the anti-codon, which is responsible for specific mRNA codon recognition, and the 3' end, to which the tRNAs corresponding amino acid is attached (by aminoacyl-tRNA synthetases). tRNAs cope with the degeneracy of the genetic code in two manners: having more than one tRNA (with a specific anti-codon) for a particular amino acid; and 'wobble' base-pairing, i.e. permitting non-standard base-pairing at the 3rd anti-codon position.
Source: RNAcentral
GCCGAAGUGGCGGAAUUGGUAGACGCACUGGUUUCAGGUACCAGCGGAGCAAUCCAUGGGGGUUCGAGUCCCUUCUUCGGUA